GGGGGGGGCGGGGGGCGGGGCUGGCGGGGGGGGGUCGGGCGGGGGGGGCGGGGCGGGGGGCGCGCGGGUGCGUAACGCGGGGGAACCUGCGCGGAGGCUCGGAAUCGCGCCCCGGGAGGGGUGCGGAGACCGGGGAAUGUCUCCGGACCAAAGAUUUAUCGCCUUUGGAUGGGCCCGCGUUGGAUUAGCUAGUUGGUAGGGUAAAAGCCUACCAAGGCGACGAUCCAUAGCUGGUUUGAGAGGAUGAUCAGCCACACUGGGACUGAGACACGGCCCAGACUCCUACGGGAGGCAGCAGUGGGGAAUAUUGGACAAUGGGCGAAAGCCUGAUCCAGCAAUGCCGCGUGAGUGAUGAAGGCCUUAGGGUUGUAAAGCUCUUUUACCCGGGAUGAUAAUGACAGUACCGGGAGAAUAAGCUCCGGCUAACUCCGUG
This 433-nucleotide ribosomal RNA is filed under the name uncultured bacterium. Its description in RNAcentral is "partial 16S ribosomal RNA". It matches the Rfam family "Bacterial small subunit ribosomal RNA", at positions 39 to 507 of the family's 1533-position model. The record is from RNAcentral.